AGUGAACGCUGGCGGUAGGCCUAACACAUGCAAGUCGAACGGCAGCACAGUAAGAGCUUGCUCUUACGGGUGGCGAGUGGCGGACGGGUGAGGAAUACAUCGGAAUCUACUUUUUCGUGGGGGAUAACGUAGGGAAACUUACGCUAAUACCGCAUACGACCUACGGGUGAAAGCAGGGGAUCUUCGGACCUUGCGCGAGUGAAUGAGCCGAUGUCGGAUUAGCUAGUUGGCGGGUUAAAGGCCCACCAAGGCGACGAUCCGUAGCUGGUCUGAGAGGAUGAUCAGCCACACUGGAACAGAGACACGGCCCAGACUCCUACGGGAGGCAGCAGUGGGGAAUAUUGCACAAUGGGCGCAAGCCUGAUCCAGCCAUACCGCGUGGGUGAAGAAGGCCUUCGGGUUGUAAAGCCCUUUUGUUGGGAAAGAAAAGCAGCAGGUUAAUACCCCGCUGUUCUGACGGUACCCAAAGAAUAAGCACCGGCUAACUUCGUG
Molecule: ribosomal RNA, 492 nt
Filed under: uncultured bacterium
Lineage: Bacteria
Description: partial 16S ribosomal RNA
Rfam family: Bacterial small subunit ribosomal RNA
Source: RNAcentral